This 253-nucleotide ribosomal RNA is filed under the name uncultured bacterium. Its description in RNAcentral is "partial 16S ribosomal RNA". It matches the Rfam family "Bacterial small subunit ribosomal RNA", at positions 524 to 776 of the family's 1533-position model. The record is from RNAcentral.
UACGGAGGGUGCAAGCGUUAUCCGGAUUCACUGGGUUUAAAGGGUGCGUAGGUGGGUUGGUAAGUCCGUGGUGAAAUCUCCGAGCUUAACUCGGAAACUGCCGUGGAUACUAUCAAUCUUGAAUACCGUGGAGGUAAGCGGAAUAUGUCAUGUAGCGGUGAAAUGCUUAGAUAUGACAUAGAACACCGAUAGCGAAGGCAGCUUGCUACACAGUCAUUGACACUGAGGCACGAAAGCGUGGGGAGCAAACAGG